Molecule: ribosomal RNA, 473 nt
Filed under: uncultured organism
Description: partial 16S ribosomal RNA
Rfam family: Bacterial small subunit ribosomal RNA
Source: RNAcentral
ACUCCUGCGGGAGGCAGCAGUGGGGAAUUUUGGACAAUGGGCGAAAGCCUGAUCCAGCCAUGCCGCGUGCAGGAUGAAGGCCUUCGGGUUGUAAACUGCUUUUGUACGGAACGAAACGGCCUUUUCUAAUAAAGAGGGCUAAUGACGGUACCGUAAGAAUAAGCACCGGCUAACUACGUGCCAGCAGCCGCGGUAAUACGUAGGGUGCAAGCGUUAAUCGGAAUUACUGGGCGUAAAGCGUGCGCAGGCGGUUAUGUAAGACAGUUGUGAAAUCCCCGGGCUCAACCUGGGAACUGCAUCUGUGACUGCAUAGCUAGAGUACGGUAGAGGGGGAUGGAAUUCCGCGUGUAGCAGUGAAAUGCGUAGAUAUGCGGAGGAACACCGAUGGCGAAGGCAAUCCCCUGGACCUGUACUGACGCUCAUGCACGAAAGCGUGGGGAGCAAACAGGAUUAGAUACCCGAGUAGUCCCAUG